GUUCCCUACGGGAGGCAGCAGUGAGGAAUAUUGGUCAAUGGGCGCGAGCCUGAACCAGCCAAGUAGCGUGAAGGAUGACUGCCCUACGGGUUGUAAACUUCUUUUAUAAAGGAAUAAAGUGAGGCACGUGUGCCUUUUUGUAUGUACUUUAUGAAUAAGGAUCGGCUAACUCCGUGCCAGCAGCCGCGGUAAUACGGAGGCUCCGCGCGUUAUCCGGAUUUAUUGGUUUUAAAGGGAGCGUAGAUGGUUUGUUAAGUCAGUUGUGAUCGUUUGCGGCUCACCCGUAAAAUUGCAUUUGAUACGGG
This 305-nucleotide ribosomal RNA is filed under the name uncultured bacterium. RNAcentral describes it as "bacterial SSU rRNA". It matches the Rfam family "Bacterial small subunit ribosomal RNA", at positions 334 to 636 of the family's 1533-position model. The record is from RNAcentral.